CGCACAUUGCGCCCGCCAGUAUUCUGGCGGGCAUGCCUGUCUGAGCGUCAUUUCAACCCUCAUGCCCCUAGGGCGUGGUGUUGGGGAUCGGCCAAAGCCCGCAAGGGACGGCCGGCCCCUAAAUCUAGUGGCGGACCCGUCGUGGCCUCCCCUGCGAAGUAGUGAUAUUCCGCAUCGGAUAGCGACGAGCCCCUGCCGUUAAACCCCCCAAACUUUUACAAGGUUGACCUCAGAUCAGGUAGGAAUACCCGCUGAACUUAA
This 261-nucleotide unclassified non-coding RNA is filed under the name Clonostachys divergens. RNAcentral's name for it is "partial contains 5.8S ribosomal RNA, internal transcribed spacer 2, and large subunit ribosomal RNA". Lineage: Eukaryota; Fungi; Ascomycota; Sordariomycetes; Hypocreales; Bionectriaceae. The record is from RNAcentral.